CCUUUUCUUUCAUUUCCUUUCAGCUUCUCCUCAACUCUCAGUUUGAGGUAGAACCGGGUUUGCUCAUCAGUCCAUGCAGUGUGCUUGAUCCCAAAUUUUCUCCAAACGUGUCUUUCCCCAUAAGCUUCAUAAAACUUGUCGAUAAUGGACUGUCUCCCAACUUCAUUAAGAUUUCCUUUUCUUUCAUUUCCUUUCAGCUUCUCCUCAACUCUCAGUUUGAGGUAGAACCGGGUUUGCUCAUCAGUCCAUGCCAGAGACUAACAUUCAAAUAUUCAAUACCAAAGACUAAACUAAACUAGGAGAAUCAUUCAAAUAUUCAAUACCAGAGACUAAACUAAACUAAGAGAACCAUUCAAAUAUUCAAUACCAGAGACUAAACUAAACUAAGAGAACCAUUC
This 398-nucleotide long non-coding RNA is filed under the name Brassica napus (rape). RNAcentral describes it as "long non-coding RNA (BNAP_LNC003297)". Lineage: Eukaryota; Viridiplantae; Streptophyta; Magnoliopsida; Brassicales; Brassicaceae. The record is from RNAcentral.